Molecule: ribosomal RNA, 438 nt
Filed under: uncultured bacterium
Lineage: Bacteria
Description: bacterial SSU rRNA
Rfam family: Bacterial small subunit ribosomal RNA
Source: RNAcentral
CAAGCGGUGGAGCAUGUGGUUUAAUUCGAAGCAACGCGAAGAACCUUACCAAAUCUUGACAUCCUUUGACAACUCUAGAGAUAGAGCCUUCCCCUUCGGGGGACAAAGUGACAGGUGGUGCAUGGUUGUCGUCAGCUCGUGUCGUGAGAUGUUGGGUUAAGUCCCGCAACGAGCGCAACCCUUAAGCUUAGUUGCCAUCAUUAAGUUGGGCACUCUAAGUUGACUGCCGGUGACAAACCGGAGGAAGGUGGGGAUGACGUCAAAUCAUCAUGCCCCUUAUGAUUUGGGCUACACACGUGCUACAAUGGACAAUACAAAGGGCAGCGAAACCGCGAGGUCAAGCAAAUCCCAUAAAGUUGUUCUCAGUUCGGAUUGUAGUCUGCAACUCGACUACAUGAAGCUGGAAUCGCUAGUAAUCGUAGAUCAGCAUGCUACGGU